UACGUAGGGUGCGAGCGUUAAUCGGAAUUACUGGGCGUAAAGAGUGCGUAGGCGGUUCGUUAUGUCUGCUGUGAAAGCCCCGGGCUUAACCCGGGAAUGGCAGUGGAAACUGGCGGGCUUGAGUGUGGCAGAGGGGGGUGGAAUUCCGCGUGUAGCAGUGAAAUGCGUAGAGAUGCGGAGGAACACCGAUGGCGAAGGCAGCCCCCUGGGCUAACACUGACGCUGAGGCACGAAAGCGUGGGGAUCAAACAGG
RNAcentral lists this ribosomal RNA (253 nucleotides) under uncultured bacterium. Its description in RNAcentral is "partial 16S ribosomal RNA". It matches the Rfam family "Bacterial small subunit ribosomal RNA", at positions 524 to 776 of the family's 1533-position model. The record is from RNAcentral.